This 502-nucleotide ribosomal RNA is filed under the name uncultured bacterium. RNAcentral's name for it is "partial 16S ribosomal RNA". It matches the Rfam family "Bacterial small subunit ribosomal RNA", at positions 29 to 523 of the family's 1533-position model. The record is from RNAcentral.
AUUGAACGCUAGCGGCAUGCCUUACACAUGCAAGUCGAACGGCAGCGGGGGAGCUUGCUCCCGCCGGCGAGUGGCGAACGGGUGAGUAAUACAUCGGAACGUACCCAGUAGCGGGGGAUAGCCCGGCGAAAGCCGGAUUAAUACCGCAUACGCCCUACGGGGGAAAGGGGGGGAUCGCAAGACCUCUCACUAUUGGAGCGGCCGAUGGCUGAUUAGCUAGUUGGUGGGGUAAAGGCCUACCAAGGCGACGAUCAGUAGCUGGGCUGAGAGGACGACCAGCCACACUGGGACUGAGACACGGCGCAGACUCCUACGGGAGGCAGCAGUGGGGAAUGUUGGACAAUGGGCGAAAGCCUGAUCCAGCAAUGCCGCGUGUGCGAAGAAGGCCUUCGGGUUGUAAAGCACUUUUGUCAGGGAAGAAAUCGUUUGGGUUAAUACCCCGAGCAGUUGACGGUACCUGAAGAAUAAGCACCGGCUAACUACGUGCCAGCCGCCGCGGUAA